UGGGAGCGCCGGUGUCGCCGCGUCGGGGGGGAGGGGCGGCCGCGGCGCCGCCCGCUGAGGGGACCGGCCCGUCCCGGGUGUGUCCGGCGGGACGGUCGCUGCCCUGUGAGGCUCCGGGAGGGAGGAGCGUUGAGGUGGAGCGGUCGCUAUUUGAAGCGCUUUCUGAGCAUCCAGGUCACCGUGUCUUUCUGACUUGCAUUGACCAGUGUGUCUCGGCUGUUCCUUCUGCAGUUUCUUCUCGUUAACUUGGCCUCUGACGUUUGUGGACGAGGCGCCGGGUCUGCAGGGUGCCCGCAAAUGCCACGCGACUAGACGGCACUUUGUGUGUGUCUCGGAGGCGUGAGCUGCGCAUUUCCCUCCUGAAACUCCGGGGAGAAUCCCCCUCCCCGCCGCCUCCCGCCGCCCGCGCCCCGUCAGCGUCGUGUGUUCCCGUCACUGGGAACGGCCUUUCGGAUCUCACAGAAGCAUGACUGAACCAAUGUUUAACUUUUACCCCUAAGAGAGGGCCAAUCCAGAAAGAACCUUUGACUUGGUAUUGAAAGUGAAAUGUCAUGCCUCUGAAAAUGAAGAUCCUGUGGUUUUGUGGAAAUUCCCAGAGGACUUUGGAGACCAGAUGCCAGAACGCUAGCGAGUCAGAACAUUGUGAUCAUCCUCUGUGGAAACAAGAAGGACCUGGAUGCAGAUCGCGAAGUUACGUUCAUAGAAGCCUCCAGAUUUGCUCAAGAAAA
This is a long non-coding RNA of Lemur catta (Ring-tailed lemur), 728 nucleotides long. RefSeq lists it as uncharacterized. The record is from RefSeq and is a predicted model, not a curated record. Lineage: Eukaryota; Metazoa; Chordata; Mammalia; Primates; Lemuridae. The transcript has 5 exons.